AGCCUUUGGAAACGAAGAUUAAUACCCCAUAGUCUAUGAACGUGGCAUCCGAUCAUAGUAAAGGUUACGGUAUAAGAUGAGUAUGCGUCCUAUUAGUUAGUUGGUAAGGUAACGGCUUACCAAGACGACGAUAGGUAGGGGCCCUGAGAGGGGGAUCCCCCACACUGGUACUGAGACACGGACCAGACUCCUACGGGAGGCAGCAGUGAGGAAUAUUGGACAAUGGGGGCAACCCUGAUCCAGCCAUGCCGCGUGCAGGAAGACGGCCCUAUGGUUGUAAACUGCUUUUAUACAGGAAGAAACACUCUCACGUGUGAGAGCUUGACGGUACUGUAAGAAUAAGGACCGGCUAACUCCGUGCCAGCAGCCGCGGUAAUACGGAGGGUCCGAGCGUUAACCGGAAUCAUUGGGUUUAAAGGGUCCGUAGCGGGCUAUUAAGUCAGAGGUGAAAGUUUGCGGCUCAACCGUAAAAUUGCCUUUGAUACUGGUAGUCUUGAAUUAAUAUGAAGUGGUUGGAAUGUGUAGUGUAGCGGUGAAAUGCAUAGAUAUUACACAGAACACCAAUUGCGAAGCAGAUCACUAAUAUUAUAUUGACGCUGAGGGACGAAAGCGUGGGUAGCGAACAGGAUUAGAUACCCUGGUAGUCCACGCCGUA
RNAcentral lists this ribosomal RNA (655 nucleotides) under uncultured bacterium. Its description in RNAcentral is "bacterial SSU rRNA". It matches the Rfam family "Bacterial small subunit ribosomal RNA", at positions 145 to 804 of the family's 1533-position model. The record is from RNAcentral.